Molecule: transfer RNA, 75 nt
Filed under: Thermodesulfobacteriota bacterium
Lineage: Bacteria; Pseudomonadati; Thermodesulfobacteriota
Also listed under: 1 other name
Description: tRNA-Arg
Rfam family: tRNA
About the family: Transfer RNA (tRNA) molecules are approximately 80 nucleotides in length. Their secondary structure includes four short double-helical elements and three loops (D, anti-codon, and T loops).
Source: RNAcentral
GGGCGAUUAGCUCAGCCUGGAUAGAGCGUUGGCCUCCGGAGCCAAAGGUCAAGGGUUCGAAUCCCUUAUCGCCCU